AAAAAGAGUCAUAUAUAGUUUUGAUGAUGUGAAUAAGUACCAGCAAAAAUAAGUACCAAUUUGGGGGAAUUUCAAUACUUUAGUGAAAAUUACAAUAUUGAGAUGGUCAAAUACUUAAUUUUGUUGAAAAUAAUAUAUUUCUAAUAGUUAUCAUACUAUACACACCAACAAAAAAAAAAUCUAAAAGAAAGAACUGUCUUUAAUCAAAUCAGUAU
Molecule: long non-coding RNA, 215 nt
Filed under: Brassica napus (rape)
Lineage: Eukaryota; Viridiplantae; Streptophyta; Magnoliopsida; Brassicales; Brassicaceae
Description: long non-coding RNA (BNAP_LNC023495)
Source: RNAcentral